Molecule: ribosomal RNA, 462 nt
Filed under: uncultured bacterium
Lineage: Bacteria
Description: partial 16S ribosomal RNA
Rfam family: Bacterial small subunit ribosomal RNA
Source: RNAcentral
AAUGAACGUUGGCGGCAUGGAUUAGGCAUGCAAGUCGGGGGAAUCCCAGCAAUGGGGGAACCGGCGUAAGGGGCAGUAAGGCAUGGGUACCUACCUUGGGGUUCGGGAUAGCCAUCAGAGAUGGUGGGUAAUACCGGAUGACGUCGUGAGACCAAAGAUUUAUCGCCCUUAGAGGGGCCCAUGUGAUAUUUGCUAGUUGGUGGGGUAACGGCCCACCAAGGCGAAGAUGUCUAGCGGGUGUGAGAGCACGACCCGCGCCACUCGCACUGAGACACUGGCGAGACACCUACGGGUGGCUGCAGUCGAGGAUCUUCGGCAAUGAGCGCAAGCUUGACCGAGCGAUGCCGCGUGAGCGAUGAGGGCCUUCGGGUCGUAAAGCUCUUUAGUGGGGGAGAAAAGCCGCAAGGUGUGAUCUAUCCCAAAAAUAAGCACGGGCUAAGUUCGUGCCAGCUGCCGCGGUAA